AAAAAAUAAUGUAAUAUUGCUCGAUGUAAUACCUUUGAUGUAAAAAAAAUCCGAUGUAAUCGGGUUUUUCAGAUACACAAUCACACCAAUUCGAUGUUAUAUUACAUCCUUCUGAAAUUACAUAAAAAAAUAAUUCAGUUUUUUCAUUACGUUGGAUAUGUGUAAUAUUUACCUUAACAAAAUGUGAAUAUUACACGCAAACAGCUGCAACCAAGUGAUUGCCACUACAUUGGGUAGAAUCACACGAAAUCGAUGUGACAUCACAUGCUUUUGAAAUGCGAUAUUAAAUCUUGCAACACUGCUCUGAUUUUGUUGUGUUCGGCCUUGCGAGCGGCCAUUUUCAGUUUGCCGCAAACGAUGGAUGCUGUUUUUUGGAAAAUCAUUGACGGCGUUGUUUUAUAUUUCAAUGAAGUAAGAUAUGUGAGAAUCCUGGACCAUUUCUUGUGGCAGUUACUUGUCGAAAGUGCAUCUCGCGGAAAAAAAUUCUCUCCCGCAACUUUCGCGUGUUUCGUGGGACCAUUUCUUGAAAGUUGCUGGGCGUGGAGCAAAGCGCCAACGACGUUGAAAUUAAGAAAGCGUACCGCAAGUUGGUCCUACGAUGGCACCCGGACAAGAACCUGGACAAUCUGGAGGAAGCGGAUCUGCAGUUUUUGCUGGUCCAGGCGACGCGACGUACGAUGUGCUGUCCGAUAUUUAGGAACGGGCCUGGUGCAAUAAUCAUCGGGAGCAGAUUCUGCGCGGAAGACAUACAAAUUAUGAGAACAAUUCAUUGGAUAUGUUCCAGUAUUCAACGACUUCCUGCUACAAGGCUUUCGGGAUGAUUAGGGAGGACUCUACGCCGUGUAUGGAGAAGUGUUCCUUACGAUAGCCUCGGAGGAGAUUGAGUUCGUGGAGAACGAGGAGAAUUUUGAGGAUAUUUCGAAGUUCGGCAAUUCGAAGAACGACUACGAGACGGAAGUUCGACUUUUUAUUACGAGAAGAACAAAAAGGUCCAGCAGAAGGCCAGAAAAGUAUGAAACGAAGACAUUCGUUCGCUGGUGUUCGUGAAAAAACGAGACAAGCGGGUGCAGGCCUAUAAGAAGCUGCUGGACAAACGGGCCAAACAGGACAGGAUUAGGUCGCAGCAGAAUCGGCUGGAACAGAUCAGUCGGAAGCAGAAGGAGAUUGAGGAGCUGCAGAGGAAUUCGUCCAAUGUGUUCAACGAGGCUUAUGACGAGCAGUUGUGAUCGGUACAAAAAACUUGAACGAGCUCUGCGAUUCAUUUCACUGUUGGCUGAAGGAAACUAAUCACUACCUGAAUUUAAUCUCUGUCCACUGCCGAGAACCCGCCUAUCACCUGAUGCGCUCCAGUCGUUAUACUACAUUAUUCAAACGUUUUUAAAGCAAUAAAAAUAGAAUAAAUAAUAAUGAAAACUUA
RNAcentral lists this long non-coding RNA (1417 nucleotides) under Aedes aegypti (yellow fever mosquito). Its description in RNAcentral is "lncRNA AAEL021502". Lineage: Eukaryota; Metazoa; Arthropoda; Insecta; Diptera; Culicidae. The record is from RNAcentral.